RNAcentral lists this ribosomal RNA (301 nucleotides) under uncultured bacterium. Its description in RNAcentral is "partial 16S ribosomal RNA". It matches the Rfam family "Bacterial small subunit ribosomal RNA", at positions 509 to 808 of the family's 1533-position model. The record is from RNAcentral.
CAGUCGCCGCGGGAAUACGUAGGUGGCAAGCGUUGUCCGGAAUUAUUGGGCGUAAAGGGCUCGCAGGCGGUUUCUUAAGUCUGAUGUGAAAGCCCCGGCUCAACCGGGGAGGGUCAUUGGAAACCGGGAAACUUGAGUGCAGAAGAGGAGAGUGGAAUUCCACGUGUAGCGGUGAAAUGCGUAGAGAUGUGGAGGAACACCAGUGGCGAAGGCGACUCUCUGGUCUGUAACUGACGCUGAGGAGCGAGAGCGUGGGGAGCGAACAGGAUUAGAUACCCGUGUAGUCCCUGUCUCUUAUACA